CCUACGGGAGGCAGCAGUGGGGGAUAUUGCACAAUGGGGGCAACCCUGAUGCAGCGACGCCGCGUGGGCGAAGAAGUAUUUCGGUAUGUAAAGCCCUAUCAGCAGGGACGAAGAAAUUACGGUACCUGAGUAAGAAGCACCGGCUAAAUACGUGCCAGCAGCCGCGGUAAUACGUAGGGUGCAAGCGUUAUCCGGAUUUACUGGGUGUAAAGGGAGCGCAGGCGGGAGGGCAAGCCUGAUGUGAAAGCCCGCGGCCCAACCGCGGGACUGCAUUGGGAACUACCGGGCUUGAGUGCCGGAGAGGUAGGCGGAAUUCCGAGUGUAGCGGUGAAAUGCGUAGAUAUAAGGAGGAACACCAGUGGCGAAGGCGGACUACUGGACGGUGACUGACGCUGAGGCUCGAAAGCGUGGGGAGCAAACAGGAUUAGAUACCCUUGUAGUC
This 442-nucleotide ribosomal RNA is filed under the name uncultured bacterium. Its description in RNAcentral is "partial 16S ribosomal RNA". It matches the Rfam family "Bacterial small subunit ribosomal RNA", at positions 338 to 795 of the family's 1533-position model. The record is from RNAcentral.